This 464-nucleotide long non-coding RNA is filed under the name Coturnix japonica (Japanese quail). RNAcentral describes it as "lncRNA (ENSCJPG00005016130.1)". Lineage: Eukaryota; Metazoa; Chordata; Aves; Galliformes; Phasianidae. The record is from RNAcentral.
GCUUUCCAAUAAAUUCUUACAAUGUCACCUAAUGGGGGAUAACAGCAAUGGUUGCACUCUUCCACUCUUCCACCAGAAAUCUUCCAGUGGAGCAGAUUUCAAUUGACAGCAUUCCUGGAGGGUCACUCUGACAGCAAACCAUUAGAGCAAAACAGGAUUGAGCCUGGGAGAGGUGCCACUUUCUGGGACUCUCAGUUUUCCUUUCUCAUGUGAUACAGAACGCAAUGAUGUAAAUGCAAUGAAGCCUGACUGUUCCUUACAUGGCUAGUGAAUAGCUCAUUCCUCUGAACCCUAAUCAAAUGAUUUUUGAAUCUUCAUCAACUUUGUGUUCAACCUCUAAGUGUUCUCAGUGUUGAUCUCUAGUACCCAAUGCAUUACAGUGGAAAUUAUUUGGAAUAUUUAGAAGCAUUUUAACAAUCAUCUGGUCAUUUUUUCACAUUGUGAAACCUCAAAUCCAUCUGAGU